Molecule: ribosomal RNA, 546 nt
Filed under: uncultured bacterium
Lineage: Bacteria
Description: bacterial LSU rRNA
Rfam family: Bacterial large subunit ribosomal RNA
Source: RNAcentral
GGCACGUGGAACCUUGUCUGAAUCUGGGGGGGACCACCCUCCAAGGCUAAGUACUCCCUAGUGACCGAUAGUGAACAAGUACCGUGAGGGAAAGGUGAAAAGCACCCCAGCGAGGGGAGUGAAAAGUCCCUGAAACCGAAAGUCUACAAGCAGUGGAAGCACCAUGGCGCAAGCCGGUGCGACUGCGUACCUUUUACAUAAUGGAUCGGCGAGUUACCCUAUGUGGCAAGCUUAAGACCGAAAGGCGUAGGCGAAGCGAAAGCGAGUCUGAACAGGGCGUUCAGUCGCAUGGGGUAGACCCGAAACGGUGUGAUCUACCCAUGGUCAGGUUGAAGCGCGGGUAAAACCGCGUGGAGGACCGAACUCACCGGUGUUGAAAACUGGGGGAUGAACUGUGGGUAGGGGGUGAAAGGGCCAAUCAAACACCGAAAUGGCUGGUUCUCCCCGAAAUAUAUCUAGGUAUAGCGUCGCGUAUGACCUCGGGAGGUAGAGCACUGAAUGGGCUAGGGGGUCUCACCAGAUUACCAAACCCAAUCAACUCCGAAU